Molecule: ribosomal RNA, 497 nt
Filed under: uncultured bacterium
Lineage: Bacteria
Description: partial 16S ribosomal RNA
Rfam family: Bacterial small subunit ribosomal RNA
Source: RNAcentral
GAUGAACGCUGGCGGCGUGCCUAAUACAUGCAAGUCGAGCGAACGGACGAUAAGCUUGCUUCUCUGAUGUUAGCGGCGGACGGGUGAGUAACACGUGUAUAACCUACCUAUAAGACUGGGAUAACUUCGGGAAACCGGAGCUAAUACCGUAUAAUAUUUUGAACCGCAUGGUUCAAAAGUGAAAGACGGUCUUGCUGUCACUUAUAGAUGGAUCCGCGCUGCAUUAGCUAGUUGUUAAGGUAACGGCUUACCAAGGCAACGAUGCAUAGCCGACCUGAGAGGGUGAUCGGCCACACUGGAACUGAGACACGGUCCAGACUCCUACGGGAGGCAGCAGUAGGGAAUCUUCCGCAAUGGGCGAAAGCAUGACGGAGCAACGCCGCGUGAGUGAUGAAGGUCUUCGGAUCGUAAAACUCUGUUAUUAGGGAAGAACAUAUGUGUAAGUAAAUGUGCACAUCUUGACGGUAACUAAUCAGAAAGCAACGGCUAACUACGUG